GACUCUCGACAACGGAUAUCUUGGCUCUCGCAUCGAUGAAGAAUGUAGUGAAAUGCGAUACUUGGUGUAAAUUACAGAAUCCCGUGAACCAUCGAGUCUUUGAAUGUAAGUUGCGCCCGAAACCAUCCAGCCGAGGGCACAUCUUCCUGGGUGUC
Molecule: ribosomal RNA, 155 nt
Filed under: Cornus elliptica
Lineage: Eukaryota; Viridiplantae; Streptophyta; Magnoliopsida; Cornales; Cornaceae
Also listed under: 1 other name
Description: partial 5.8S ribosomal RNA
Rfam family: 5.8S ribosomal RNA
About the family: 5.8S ribosomal RNA (5.8S rRNA) is a component of the large subunit of the eukaryotic ribosome.
Source: RNAcentral